AGGCUUUCACGGGUAACGGAGGAUUAGGGUUCGAUUCCGGAGAGGGAGCCUGAGAAACGGCUACCACAUCUAAGGAAGGCAGCAGGCGCGUAAAUUACCCAAUCCUGACUCAGGGAGGUAGUGACAAGAAAUAACGGACCGAAGCCUAUGUUUCGGGAUUGCAAUGAGUAGAAUUUAAACCCCUUUACGAGGAUCAAUUGGAGGGCAAGUCUGGUGCCAGCAGCCGCGGUAAUUCCAGCUCCAAUAGCGUAUAUUAAAGUUGUUGCAGUUAAAAAGCUCGUAGUAGGAUUUCUGGGAGGGUGCCGAUGUCGUCUUGUUGAUUGUGCAGAGGCGCCCUUCCAUCCUUCUGUUAACGUUUCUGAUAUUCAUUUAUUGGUCUCGGGCUCAGAUAUUUUACCUUGAGAAAAUUAGAGUGUUCCAGGCAGGCUCGCGCCGGAAUACAUUAGCAUGGAAUAAUAGAAUAGGACUUUAGUCUCCUUUGUUGGUUUGAGGGAUUGAAGUAAUGAUUAAUAGGGAUAGUUGGGGGCAUUAGUAUUUAAUUGUCAGAGGUGAAAUUCUCGGAUUUGUUAAAGACUAACUUAUGCGAAAGCAUUUGCCAA
Molecule: ribosomal RNA, 599 nt
Filed under: uncultured ciliate
Lineage: Eukaryota; Ciliophora
Description: SSU rRNA
Rfam family: Eukaryotic small subunit ribosomal RNA
Source: RNAcentral